This 302-nucleotide unclassified non-coding RNA is filed under the name Hevea brasiliensis (rubber tree). Lineage: Eukaryota; Viridiplantae; Streptophyta; Magnoliopsida; Malpighiales; Euphorbiaceae. The record is from RNAcentral.
GAAGGCAGUAAACACCUCAUAAUUGAACAUGACAGCUGCAGAUGCCAUUAUGUUCUAGCAUGUGCUUUUCAAUUGCUUUGUUUAUGAUUGUGAGAAGUGCCAGGUUGCCAUGUUAGAUUUCUGUUAGUCCCCUUUCUGGAAAGUGAUGUCAAUGACUUGAUUGCAAUAUUAAGUGAGUAUAGCAGUGUGGUUCACACAUGUUAAUUAUUCAUGACAACUAUGAACUAAAGUGAUUAGUUCAGUGAUCAGUGAUCACCAAUACGGCCACCACCUAUUAUUGUUAUUAUUUGAACUUUUGAUUG